GCAGAGGUGGUGGAAUGGUAGACACGCUGUCUUGAGGGGGCAGUGGAUGAAAGUCCGUGAGGGUUCAAAUCCCUUUCUCUGCACCA
RNAcentral lists this transfer RNA (86 nucleotides) under Gallicola sp. Its description in RNAcentral is "tRNA-Leu". It matches the Rfam family "tRNA". Rfam says of the family: Transfer RNA (tRNA) molecules are approximately 80 nucleotides in length. Their secondary structure includes four short double-helical elements and three loops (D, anti-codon, and T loops). Further hydrogen bonds mediate the characteristic L-shaped molecular structure. tRNAs have two regions of fundamental functional importance: the anti-codon, which is responsible for specific mRNA codon recognition, and the 3' end, to which the tRNAs corresponding amino acid is attached (by aminoacyl-tRNA synthetases). tRNAs cope with the degeneracy of the genetic code in two manners: having more than one tRNA (with a specific anti-codon) for a particular amino acid; and 'wobble' base-pairing, i.e. permitting non-standard base-pairing at the 3rd anti-codon position. The record is from RNAcentral. Lineage: Bacteria; Bacillati; Bacillota; Tissierellia; Tissierellales; Peptoniphilaceae.